This 77-nucleotide transfer RNA is filed under the name Candidatus Omnitrophota bacterium. RNAcentral describes it as "tRNA-Arg". It matches the Rfam family "tRNA". From Rfam's summary of the family: Transfer RNA (tRNA) molecules are approximately 80 nucleotides in length. Their secondary structure includes four short double-helical elements and three loops (D, anti-codon, and T loops). Lineage: Bacteria; Pseudomonadati; Candidatus Omnitrophota. The record is from RNAcentral.
GCGCCCGUAGCUCAACUGGAUAGAGCGGCUGGCUUCGAACCAGUAGGUCGCAGGUUCAACUCCUGCCGGGCGCGCCA